Molecule: ribosomal RNA, 257 nt
Filed under: uncultured bacterium
Lineage: Bacteria
Description: partial 16S ribosomal RNA
Rfam family: Bacterial small subunit ribosomal RNA
Source: RNAcentral
UACGGUAGGGGGCUAGCGUUGUCCGGAAUCAUUGGGCGUAAAGCGCGUGUAGGCGGUCCGGUAAGUCCGCUGUGAAAGUCGGGGGCUCAACCCUCGAAUGCCGGUGGAUACUGUCGGGCUAGAGUGCGGAAGAGGCGAGUGGAAGUUCCUGGGUGUAGCGGUGGAAUGCGCAGAUAUCAGGAGGAACACCAAUAGCGAAGGCAGCUCGCUGGGACGUUACUGACACUGAGGCGCGAAAGCGUGGGGGAGCGAACAGG